Molecule: ribosomal RNA, 433 nt
Filed under: uncultured bacterium
Lineage: Bacteria
Description: partial 16S ribosomal RNA
Rfam family: Bacterial small subunit ribosomal RNA
Source: RNAcentral
AAAGAAAGGGGGAGGCAUGCCUAACACAUGCAAGUCGAACGAGACCUUCGGGUCUAGUGGCGCACGGGUGCGUAACGCGUGGGAACCUGCCCUUAGGUUCGGAAUAACUCCCCGAAAGGGGUGCUAAUACCGGAUAAUGUCUUCGGACCAAAGAUUUAUCGCCUUUGGAUGGGCCCGCGUUGGAUUAGCUAGUUGGUAGGGUAAAAGCCUACCAAGGCGACGAUCCAUAGCUGGUCUGAGAGGAUGAUCAGCCACACUGGGACUGAGACACGGCCCAGACUCCUACGGGAGGCAGCAGUGGGGAAUAUUGGACAAUGGGCGAAAGCCUGAUCCAGCAAUGCCGCGUGAGUGAUGAAGGCCUUAGGGUUGUAAAGCUCUUUUACCCGGGAUGAUAAUGACAGUACCGGGAGAAUAAGCGCCGGCUAACUCCGUG